CUCAAGAAAUCUUUGCCCAGUCCAAUGUCCUGGAGAAUUUUUUUCCCAAUGUUUUCUUGGAAUAGUGUCAUAGUUUCAGGUCUGAGAUUUAAGUCUUUAACAUGCUUUGAUUUGAUUGUUGCGUAUGGCAAGAGAUAGGGGUCUAGUUUCAUUCUUCUGCAUAUGGGUGUCUACUUUUCCCAGCACUGUUUAUUGAAGAGACUGUUUUUUCCUCAAUGUAUGUUCUUAGCACCUUUGUAAGAAAUGAUUUCACUGUAGAUGUACAGAUUUUUUUCUGGGAAUU
Long non-coding RNA from Sapajus apella (tufted capuchin), 283 nucleotides. RefSeq lists it as uncharacterized. Lineage: Eukaryota; Metazoa; Chordata; Mammalia; Primates; Cebidae. The transcript has 3 exons. The record is from RefSeq and is a predicted model, not a curated record.